GUUGAGGAAAUUAUUGAUCAUGUUUUUUUGAGUUGUCUGGAAUUCGACCGAAUUGGAGAAGCAGGGCACGUGAAUCGAAUUGGAUAGGUUUGGAAUGAUCUUGGGUGACUCCAAUGGUGGCAGAGAAGUAGCAACCCCACCCGAAUCCGUCCUCGUUAGC
This 160-nucleotide microRNA precursor is filed under the name Helianthus ciliaris. Its description in RNAcentral is "miR164a stem-loop (hci-MIR164a)". Its record names the gene hci-MIR164a. The record is from miRBase by way of RNAcentral. Lineage: Eukaryota; Viridiplantae; Streptophyta; Magnoliopsida; Asterales; Asteraceae.